AUACGGAGGAUCCGAGCGUUAUCCGGAUUUAUUGGGUUUAAAGGGUGCGCAGGCGGCCAUUUAAGUCAGCGGUUAAAUCGUGGGGCUCAACCCCAUUCUGCCGUUGAUACUGGGUGGCUUGAUUGCGGUCGAGGUUGGCGGAAUUCGUUGUGUAGCGGUGAAAUGCAUAGAUAUGACGAAGAACACCGAUUGCGUAGGCAGCUGACCAGACCGCAAAUGACGCUCAUGCACGAAAGUGCGGGGAUCGAACAGGAUUAGAUACCCUGGUAGUCCUCACAGUAAACGAUGAAUACUUGUUUUCGGCGAUAUAAUGUCGGAGGCAAAGCGAAAGCGAUAAGUAUUCCACCUGGGGAGUACGCCGGCAACGGUGAAACUCAAAUGAAUUGACGGGG
RNAcentral lists this ribosomal RNA (392 nucleotides) under uncultured bacterium. RNAcentral's name for it is "partial 16S ribosomal RNA". It matches the Rfam family "Bacterial small subunit ribosomal RNA", at positions 523 to 918 of the family's 1533-position model. The record is from RNAcentral.